GGUUGAUCCUGCCAGUAGUUAUAUGCUUGUCUCAAAGACUAAGCCAUGCAUGUCUAAGUAUAAACCAAUUUAUACGGUGAAACUGCGAAUGGCUCAUUAUAUCAGUUAUUGUUUAUUUGAUGAUACCCUACCACUUGGAUAACCGUGGUAAUUCUAGAGCUAAUACAUGCACGAAAUCUCGACUCCUUCGGGGGAAGGGAUGUAUUUAUUAGAUAAAAGCCAGCCCGGCGUUUCGGCGUCGGUUUAGCCUGGUGAUUCAUGAUAACUUUGCGAAUCGCAUGACUUUUUGUCGG
RNAcentral lists this ribosomal RNA (293 nucleotides) under uncultured eukaryote. Its description in RNAcentral is "partial 18S ribosomal RNA". It matches the Rfam family "Eukaryotic small subunit ribosomal RNA", at positions 6 to 287 of the family's 1831-position model. The record is from RNAcentral.